RNAcentral lists this ribosomal RNA (468 nucleotides) under uncultured bacterium. RNAcentral's name for it is "partial 16S ribosomal RNA". It matches the Rfam family "Bacterial small subunit ribosomal RNA", at positions 28 to 507 of the family's 1533-position model. The record is from RNAcentral.
GACGAACGCUGGCGGCGUGCUUAACACAUGCAAGUCGAACGGAAAGGCCCUGCUUUUGUGGGGUGCUCGAGUGGCGAACGGGUGAGUAACACGUGAGUAACCUGCCCUUGACUUUGGGAUAACUUCAGGAAACUGGGGCUAAUACCGGAUAGGAGCUCCUGCUGCAUGGUGGGGGUUGGAAAGUUUCGGCGGUUGGGGAUGGACUCGCGGCUUAUCAGCUUGUUGGUGGGGUAGUGGCUUACCAAGGCUUUGACGGGUAGCCGGCCUGAGAGGGUGACCGGCGACAUUGGGACUGCGAUACGGCCCAGACUCCUACGGUAGGCAGCAGUGGGGAAUAUGGCGCAAUGGGCGGAAGCCUGAUGCAGCAACGCCGCGUGCGGGAUGACGGCCUUCGGGUUGUAAACCGAUUUCGCCUGUGACGAAGCGUGAGUGACGGUAAUGGGUAAAGAAGCACCGGCUAACUACGUG